Molecule: non-coding RNA, 49 nt
Filed under: Trichobilharzia regenti
Lineage: Eukaryota; Metazoa; Platyhelminthes; Trematoda; Strigeidida; Schistosomatidae
Source: RNAcentral
GUACUGAUGAAGAGUCCCAAACUUGCGAGACGAAACAGCUUUCCAGUAU